This 938-nucleotide long non-coding RNA is filed under the name Homo sapiens (human). Its description in RNAcentral is "HSALNT0351597". The record is from RNAcentral. Lineage: Eukaryota; Metazoa; Chordata; Mammalia; Primates; Hominidae.
UUAUUUGAAUUUCAAACAACAGACCAACCAUAGCUCAAUGUUUCUCAAGAGUAUCCUGUGGAGCACAGUGCGUGAACGCCCAGAAGAAAGCAGUCUGUGGUCAGGUGGGUUUCUGUGCCAUUUGCUGCCACCUUCCCUGCAAACAGUGAUUUACAGCACACAUUGUUCUUGUGUCUGUUCUGCAGUGAUAAAACCCAUUUAACUCAGUGGUUCCCAAAUGUACUGACCGUGGAACUGUUUUACUCAGGGGACACUGUUAACAUCCUGUAGAAGCACAGUAGCAGGUAUCCAGCCUGCAUACGAUAAGACAACCAGAACCAAAUUUGGCAGGGAAUACUGGGAGACAAAUCUCUACGAUCACAAAUUACUAAUGGUUUCCCCAGAACUGCUGGUGGCCAUAUCCCCUGGCAUGUGGAAGGGCCCAGAAGAGGCCACUCUACUGCAGAGGCCAACAGAAGAGUGUUGCCCAGGCUGGUCUCAAACUUCUGGGCUCAAGCAACCCUCCAGCCUCGGCCUCCCAAAGUGUUGGGAUCAUAGGCAUGAGACACCGUGCCUGGCGAAGAUAUUUUUACCGAAAAGGACAGAGGGUGUACUUGGAGGCACAUACCAAAGAAAUGCCAUGUGAGAACAAGCAAGAAGGUGGCCAUCUGUAAACCAGGAAGAGUGUCCUCACCAGAAAAUGAAGUGGCUUCAACUUUGAUCUCAGAAUUCCAGCCUCCAUAACUGUGAGAAAAUACAUUUCUGUUCUUUCAGCCAGUCUAUGGCAUUACAUUAUAGCAACCCAAGCAAACUAAGGCAUGCCCAGAAAUGACUACAGGGGUAAAAAUGAGCAGAUAAUUGGUUUUUAGUGUCCUGAAGUUUAUCUGCUUUUCCUUAUGUACUUAUAUCGUUGCCACUGCCACCAGGCUACUCUUCCUUCUUGUCUGCUCCCAAACAGG